RNAcentral lists this ribosomal RNA (420 nucleotides) under uncultured archaeon. RNAcentral describes it as "partial 16S ribosomal RNA". It matches the Rfam family "Archaeal small subunit ribosomal RNA", at positions 323 to 746 of the family's 1478-position model. The record is from RNAcentral.
CUACGGGUUGCUCCAGUUGAGGAAAUUUUACAAUGCUCGAAAGAGUGAUAAAAUAAGCCAGAGUGUUUCUCUUAGAGAAACUUUUGUCUGCUGUAAAAAGGCAGACGAAUAAGGACUGGGCAAGACCGGUGCCAGCCGCCGCGGUAAUACCGGCGGUCCGAGUCGCAUCCACAUUUAUUGGGUCUAAAACAUCCGUAGCUUGCUUUGUAAGUCUCUUGUGAAAUCUCACAUCUCAAGUGUGAGGCGUGCAAGAGGUACUGCAUCGCUAGAGACCGGAAGACGUAAGGAGUACGAUUGAGGUAGCGGUAAAAUGUGUUAAUCUUAAUCGGACUAACAAUGGCGAAGGCAUCUUACGAGUACGGAUCUGACAGUGAGGGAUGAAGGCUAGGGGCGCAAAAGGGAUUAGAUACCCCGGUAGUC